GAUGAAGAACGCAGCGAAAUGCGAUAAGUAAUGUGAAUUGCAGAAUUCAGUGAAUCAUCGAAUCUUUGAACGCACCUUGCGCCCUUUGGCUAUUCCGAAGGGCAUGCCUGUUUGAGUAUCAUGAACACCUCAACUCUCAUGGCUUGCCAUGAUGAGCUUGGACUUUUGGGGGUCUUGCUGGCCUGUGGUCAGCUCCUCUCAAAUGAAUUAGCCUGCCAGUGUUUGGUGGCAUCACAGGUGUGAUAACUAUCUACGCUUGUGGUUUUCCACCAGGUAACCUUCAGUGAUGAAGGUUCGCUGGGGCUCAUAAACGUCUCUCCUCAGUGAGGACAGCUCUUUGAACGUUUGAUCUCAAAUCAGGUAGGACUACCCGCUGAACUUAAGCAUAUCAAUAAGCGGAGGAA
Molecule: unclassified non-coding RNA, 404 nt
Filed under: soil metagenome
Description: partial contains 5.8S ribosomal RNA, internal transcribed spacer 2, and large subunit ribosomal RNA
Rfam family: 5.8S ribosomal RNA (bases 1-121)
Source: RNAcentral